RNAcentral lists this ribosomal RNA (253 nucleotides) under uncultured bacterium. Its description in RNAcentral is "partial 16S ribosomal RNA". It matches the Rfam family "Bacterial small subunit ribosomal RNA", at positions 524 to 776 of the family's 1533-position model. The record is from RNAcentral.
UACGGGGGGGGCAAGCGUUGUUCGGAAUUACUGGGCGUAAAGGGCUCGUAGGCGGCCAACUAAGUCGGACGUGAAAUCCCUCAGCUUAACUGGGGAACUGCGUCCGAUACUGGAUGGCUUGGAUUUGGGAGAGGGAUGCGGAAUUCCAGGUGUAGCGGUGAAAUGCGUAGAUAUCAGGAGGAACACCGAUGGCGAAGGCAGGUCUCUGGGCAUUAACUGACGCUGAGGAGCGAAAGCAUGGGGAGCGAACAGG